Molecule: ribosomal RNA, 442 nt
Filed under: uncultured eukaryote
Lineage: Eukaryota
Description: bacterial SSU rRNA
Rfam family: Eukaryotic small subunit ribosomal RNA
Source: RNAcentral
CCUGACGGUAGUCGUAUGCUCGUCUCCGAGACUAAGCCAUGCAAGUCCAAGUACACGUCCUUGAACGACGGAAACUGCGAACGGCUCAUUAAUCAGUUGCGAUCUACUCGGCGUUCCGCGCCGCCGGAUAACCGUAGUAAUUCUAGGGCUAAUACGUGCGAAGCGCCCGAAGCCGCGAGGCGACGGGCGUUCUCGCCGGAUGUAGGAACCGACCCGGGGACCGCCGGGGCAACCCGGCGCCCCCGAGACGGGGCGAACCACGGUGAAAUGACGGAUCGUCGGCCCCGCGCCGGCGACUCGCCGAAUGAGUUUCUGACCUAUCAACUCGAGACGGCGGGGUAGAGGCCCGCCGCGGUAACGACGGGUAACGGGGAAUCAGGGUUCGAUUCCGGAGAGGGGAGCCCGAGAAACGGCUACCACUUCCAAGGAAGGCAGCAGGCGC